This 63-nucleotide transfer RNA is filed under the name Meteorus pulchricornis. RNAcentral describes it as "tRNA-Ala". The record is from RNAcentral. Lineage: Eukaryota; Metazoa; Arthropoda; Insecta; Hymenoptera; Braconidae.
AGAAUAAUAGUUUAAAUAAAAAUAUUUAAUUUGCAUUUAAAAGAUACAAAUAAGUUUAUUUUA